GUUGAGGUCAGUGAAGAAGAUGGGGGUCACAAAGGAGCAACUCGAAUCUACUUUAACCUCUAAGUUGAAUCCUCAGCAUCUGGAGGUAACUGAUACAUCUGGAGGAUGCGGGGCGAGUUUCGUAGUUGACAUUGUCUCAGAACAAUUUGAAGGGAAAAGGUUGCUUGAGCGACAUCGAUUGGUGAAUGCCGCUCUGGAGGAGGAAAUGAAACAGAUUCAUGCUCUCUCCAUCAAGAAGGCUCUGACCCCUCAACAAUGGAAGCAACAACAAGAAGAAUCUGAAAAAUCAAAAUCUGCAGCUUAGAGCAUGAUUUAUAAGUAAAGUAAGAACCAUUGAUGGCAGU
RNAcentral lists this unclassified non-coding RNA (344 nucleotides) under Hevea brasiliensis (rubber tree). The record is from RNAcentral. Lineage: Eukaryota; Viridiplantae; Streptophyta; Magnoliopsida; Malpighiales; Euphorbiaceae.